GACGGAGGAUGCAAGUGUUAUCCGGAAUCACUGGGCGUAAAGCGUCUGUAGGUGGUCAAAUAAGUCAACUGUUAAAUCUUGAGGCUCAACCUCAAAAUCGCAGUCGAAACUAUUCGACUAGAGUAUAGUAGGGGUAAAGGGAAUUUCCAGUGGAGCGGUGAAAUGCGUAGAGAUUGGAAAGAACACCGAUGGCGAAGGCACUUUACUGGGCUAUUACUAACACUGAGAGACGAAAGCUAGGGUGGCAAAUGGG
Molecule: ribosomal RNA, 253 nt
Filed under: uncultured bacterium
Lineage: Bacteria
Description: partial 16S ribosomal RNA
Rfam family: Bacterial small subunit ribosomal RNA
Source: RNAcentral